UCUGAAGUAGAGCUGUUAUAAAAAGCUGUUUGUUGUUUGGUAACUACAUUCGUAAAGUGCUGUGGUACUUUGUUUUGUGUUUGGUAAACAAACUGAGAAAGUACUUUUGUAUGACAAAAUUACCAUAAAGGAUAUUGCAUAGUAUUAUACAACAGAACAUAAUAAAACAUAACAUAAAUUAAUACAUAAAUAUACGAUAUAGUAUAAUAUUAUUGUAAUAUAAAAUAAUAU
RNAcentral lists this long non-coding RNA (231 nucleotides) under Phoenix dactylifera (date palm). RNAcentral describes it as "long non-coding RNA (PDAC_LNC008596)". The record is from RNAcentral. Lineage: Eukaryota; Viridiplantae; Streptophyta; Magnoliopsida; Arecales; Arecaceae.